Triticum aestivum (bread wheat) is the source of this 2819-nucleotide long non-coding RNA. RefSeq lists it as uncharacterized. The record is from RefSeq and is a predicted model, not a curated record. The transcript is spliced from 4 exons. NCBI's taxonomy places the organism in Eukaryota, Viridiplantae, Streptophyta, Magnoliopsida, Poales, Poaceae.
UUCCCGCCCGCCGCUUAUCACCGCCGCCUGCCGCUCUCUAGACUCUGUGGAUAGACUUCCACCGUCCACCGUCUACGCAGCCGGGCGCUGAUCCACCGUCGUCAGGCCCUAUAAAAGGCUCCCGGCUCGCCUCUGUAGGAGCAGGCGUGGUGCUGGAAGUCUGGAACAGUGAUGGGACUGAGCGGCAGUGGUGGCGCUACAGCAACAUGACCGAAGGGGCGGCUCUCUCCUACAAAACUGGCGGUGCCCCUCCUCAUCCUGAUGUAUGUGUUGUUCUAUUUUUCACUUGCGCCUGCAGGCGGCAGCUCCCUCCACCACCCCUCCUCACCUCCGUCCCCCAGCCGCCCCCCGUACGCGCCGCCCUGCUGGUGGAGCUCACCUGCGCCGCCAUGGAUCUCGUCGGUGUUGGAGGCCUGUUCUGCAACGUUGGCCUCCCCAAGGUCCUGCUGGUGACCUGGACGCUCGCCGGCGCUGCUCCGGUUCCUCAUGCCGGUGUGAUUUAAGAACCAACCAGCGGGCACUCCUAUUAUUUGUGGUGUCCGUCCACGCGCGGCGGUGUGGUAGCUAGAGAGAGGAGCGGCGACGAGGUAAGUGAGAAUCGCGACGCGUAGAGGUCCAUCAGUGAUUCUAAGUGCGGCGGCCAAGACAAACGAGUCAUCCUAUCUGAAACCGACGGAAUUCUGUUUAAUUGGCCAUUGUUUCGUGUACUAUGCAGGGUGAUCUUUACCUCAUUUGUCUUUUGACCUGAAUAUUGUGGUUGGUUCCACGCAGCAGAUGCAGGCACAAUGCUGCGAGGUACUACACCCUGUUGCAACUCAAGUUGGCGUUGAGGAAGAAGAGGGUGGAACCUGAUGGCCGAGUGCCGCGCGCCGCCGCAAGCUCCUGAACGACCAUCUCUCGAUGGUCCGCUCCGUGGUGCGGUGGUCCCCAAGAUGAGCAAGGUCUUGUGGUCUCUUUGCCUGAUUAGGAUCCUAAUGAAGUUCGUUGGUGGCUGCAGUAAAACUGUGGUUGGGCGCUGUUGAUUUUGUGGUGGUAGGCUGUUUUUCGAUUUGGUCCACUUUGCCGGACAGGUGAUGGUCGGUGUCGUGGUUAUUCUACAGCCAAGCUGAAUAUACACCCCACCUGAACUAUCUCCAUUGUACAGAAAAAAGUUCAUCAUAAUCACUACGUCAACUGCUAAUUCUCUUCAUGGGAUCACCACUUCUAUCAAGUGGAAUCUACCGAGCCAUUGCUUCAGAUGGAGGCAGCAGCUAUUACUACCAAACCUUGAAAAGCCAUUGGAAACAACCCUGCAACCUUUUCCGACAGUAGCAGAGGUAAUUUAUAGCCUAGGUAAUCCUCAGAUUUUUUUUCCCGCAUGGUGAAAGGGAGUUUUAUUCUUAAUUGAGCAGUGUAUCAGAAUACUAGAGGAUGAAAACAAUACAGCCAAGAAGAGAGAAGGAAGACAAAUGUCAGCGGGGAAAUCAAAAAGGGGUUUGGCAGAUAUUAUUUUUACAUGUACAACAAAUUCAUCUUAUUUGCUAUUUCAAUGUAGUAUUGUUGUUUUUGCUUUUUUAUCAGUAAUUAAGUAGCCAGGGAGCUGUCUACGCAUGAAGGCUGAAAACGGAGUAAGCUACUUGCUAACAACAAGAAAGGACCAGCUUAGUUCUACACUGUAGCUUGAGUGCUUUGUAUGCACAACUAAAGCUGUGUACUGUAAUAAGACAAACUUACCACUCUACUUGGACUUAUCCAGUCCUUUUGACCUGUUGUAUAAUAUAACCAAGUUUUCAUAGAUGCAACUGGGACAUGGUUGAAAUUGUGUACUGUAAUAGUAUGGUAGGCUUGGUGCUCUACUUAUAUGUACACAGUGCUUCUGUAUGUAAUGUAAUGUAUAACUAAGUGUACAUACUCGAUGACAUGUCUAGCGAUCUAGCUUUUUCGCUUGCUAUUAAGCUGAUAAAAGUGUUCUUUUUCUACAGAUGUAGCUUGGGUUAUGACUGUUACAUGUUCGAGACACUCCUACCUCUGAUCAUUGGCCAACACAUGAUGAGUGGUGAAGCGGCAGCUACAUGGACUUACCGAUGCUCAUACAUUGUAAUGGUAAUUCACUCGUGUUCACCAUGGUGAUAAAGUGAGAGACGUGUGCUGGUGAUGCAAUUCUUACACAGAGCCAGCUUAAUCUUAGACCAUAUAUGUUCACUCAUGUGAUAGUACUAAUUCACUGAAAUAAUCCCCUUUGCAUUGCACUAUUUCGUCAAAAACCUAGUUUUAAGAUUAGUUUCAGUUUGUCCACAUAGAUUACUCAAUAGUUAUACACUUUCACCCUGAUAAUUUGGCCCUGUUGUAAGCAUACCCUCUCUUUAAUUUCUAAAAUAUACACCAUAUUUUGAUCCAUUUCUUAAGGAUUAGUUUUAAGUUUUCACACUUAGAUUGCUCAAUAGUUUUAUUGGUAAUUUGGCCCAGUUUUAAUCAUAACCCCUUUUCAUUUUGUAAUACACCAUAUUUUGAUCCAUUUCAAGAAUUCAUGCCUGAUAACAAGGCUCAUGCACCAUGGUGCUUGGGGGAGGAUCAGACCUCUUAUGUGUUUUGCCUUCAAAUAUGAUUGAGGCUAAUGAAUUCUACGAAGAAGCAAGUGAUUGUUCCAGGAAGCUACUCCCUCCGUCCCAUAAUAUAAAAACGUUUUUUACACUACACUAAUGUCAAAAACGUUCUUAUAUUAUGGGACGGAGGGAGUAUGUUACAAUUCUAUGUGUGGUCUGCUUGAGUGUUUGUCAAUAUAUCAGUAUUCUGAAAACCAUACUGGUAGCGUUUAGUUUAAUAUAUCAGUCAUUUUUACA